AAGAUAUACAUAUGUUACUAUAGUUUUAAGAAUUAUGUUAAUGUAACUUUUGAACAGACGGUCGGACAUUUUUGAACUUAAUGUAUAAAAUGUAGAGCACGUCCAGAGGAACAUUUUAUACACAGUAUGUAUGCAGCAAACUCUUAUUGUUUUCUUAAUAUGCAAGCUUGAAAUUGCAGCGUAAUUUUAUUUGCACUCUGUGACCUUUGACCUUGAGUGCAAAUUGAAGGUCACAAGAACUUAGGAUUAUUAGUGUAGGUCCCAAGUCUCUACGACUUCCGGUUCUCGAAAUAGAAUUUUUCAAAAAUUGUGUAUAUUUUUUUAAGAGAAAUAACUCCUUAUAAGGGUCAAUAACAAAAUUAUUUUAUAUGUUUAUUAACAUUGCCAUCUGUUCUUGUACAUGUUGCCGUUUUCAAAUCGAUUCUAUCCCUAAUACUUUUUGAGAAAAAUGCGAAAAAAAGAAAUUGCUGCAAGGGGAUAUAACUCGCAUAGGGGAUGAUGAAAUCCUAUGCAGCCUCAUAUGGUAGUACAUCAUGAUGAGAUCUACCUAUUGUACAAAUAAGGUCAUGAUAUCUUUAAAAACAACGAGGGGGGGCCAUGUCGAAAAAAUCCAAUCAAAGGGAGAUAACUUCUACAGGGGAUGAUGAAAUCCUUAACAGGGUCAUGUGGUCAUACUUCAAGAUGAGGUCUAUCGAUGGUCAAUAUUUGGUCUUGAUAACUUCAACAGAAACGGGGGGAGGGCAUUCCCAAAAAAAUGUUGGAAGAAAAAAAAGAAAAAAAAAAAAAAAAAAAAAAAGAAAAAGAAAAAAAAAAAAAAAAAGAAAAAAAAAAAAACAUUAGAAAAACAAUAAGGUCUUUCCUAACGGAGUGGAAAGACCUUAACAAUAAG
This is a long non-coding RNA of Mytilus californianus (California mussel), 889 nucleotides long. RefSeq lists it as uncharacterized. The transcript has 2 exons. NCBI's taxonomy places the organism in Eukaryota, Metazoa, Mollusca, Bivalvia, Mytilida, Mytilidae. The record is from RefSeq and is a predicted model, not a curated record.